This 372-nucleotide ribosomal RNA is filed under the name uncultured bacterium. Its description in RNAcentral is "bacterial SSU rRNA". It matches the Rfam family "Bacterial small subunit ribosomal RNA", at positions 523 to 898 of the family's 1533-position model. The record is from RNAcentral.
AUACGUAGGGGGCAAGCGUUAUCCGGAAUUACUGGGCGUAAAGGGUGCGUAGGCGGUUUAUCAAGUCAGGGGUGAAAGGCUACGGCUCAACCGUAGUAAGCCUUUGAAACUGAUGAACUUGAGUGUAGGAGAGGAAAGUGGAAUUCCCAGUGUAGCGGUGAAAUGCGUAGAUAUUGGGAGGAACACCAGUGGCGAAGGCGACUUUCUGGACUACAACUGACGCUGAGGCACGAAAGCGUGGGGAGCAAACAGGAUUAGAUACCCUGGUAGUCCACGCUGUAAACGAUGAGCACUAGGUGUCGGCUGUCAAAGGUCGGUGCCGACGUUAACACAUUAAGUGCUCCGCCUGGGGAGUACGCUCGCAAGAGUGAA